RNAcentral lists this non-coding RNA (195 nucleotides) under Alphaproteobacteria bacterium. Lineage: Bacteria; Pseudomonadati; Pseudomonadota; Alphaproteobacteria. The record is from RNAcentral.
UGUAGGGUCGCGGGCGACGGUGCCUUCCCCCAGGGAGGGAGAAUAGGGAACGCGGUUUAAAUCCGCGGCUGUGCCCGCAACUGUAAGCGGCGAGCGAUCCUCCGAAUUGGUCACUGGGCCGCCUGCCGGCCCGGGAAGACCGGAGAUCGCGACGACCCGCGAAGCCAGGAGACCUGCCGUCGGCGUCGUCCUUUU